Populus euphratica (Euphrates poplar) is the source of this 251-nucleotide long non-coding RNA. RefSeq lists it as uncharacterized. Lineage: Eukaryota; Viridiplantae; Streptophyta; Magnoliopsida; Malpighiales; Salicaceae. The record is from RefSeq and is a predicted model, not a curated record. The transcript has 3 exons.
AUUGGAGAGUUGAUAAGUUUGGGACUUAAUUGGACUUGGAUUCAAUUUAAUUAAUGAAAUUAGAGACUUAAUUGGAUAAAUUACAAAGUUUGGGGUUAAUUGGGGGCACAAUUGCAAACAGAUUAAAGUCCAAGGGCUAACUUGUAAAAUAUGCCGAAAUGCAGGGGUCCAAUUACAAUUCAACUAGGGGCUUAAUUACAAAACUUUCCAAACUUCAAGGUCCAAAAUGAAAAAAGCCGUGAAUAACAAAA